UCUCUAUCUCUCUAACAGAUGCUCUCUAACCCUUCAUCUCUCUAAAACCUUCUGGUUCUCUCCAUAUUUUCCGAUGAUGACCAACGCCUCUCCAGCUCACUCCUCCCUCACUUCUCUCGACCUCCAGCAACCAUGGGGUCCUUGUAUCGUUGUUUUCUCUCUAAUGUUUGAAGCCAGCAGCUUCCGCCAUGAAAGAGGUCACUGAAGCUUUAUUUGGGUUUGUUUCCGAAUUUUCUCCGGUGGUAUUUGUACGAUGAUGCCUUCUAUGGAAUUGUAUACGAGUUUCACUACCAGGUUUCUCAUUUCCGUAACUUAUUUUUGCAAACCCUAAUUUGCUUUGCCUAAAUAUCUUAAACUUCUGUCUUUUUAAGCAAUUUCCGGUUUAAUCUUUGUUUUCUACACUCCAUCUAACUCGAUAUCUUUGAUUAAGUCGAGUUUUUCAAACAUUCUGUACCGUUUUUUCAAGACUAGGUUUCUGACCCCUUUUGCAAAAUCGUUAUACUUUCUGACUUUUCUUGAGUAUUAUGUGGUUGUUUGUGCUUAUUUGUGUUAUGAGUUUGUUUGUUUCCCUGUUAAUCCGAGUUCCAUUGCUUUAUCUCUUUGCUAGGGUUCCAACCCUUUACUACUUCCAUGCUUUAUUCCCUAAGGCUAUCUGAUUUUCAUGUCUAUUGUGUUUUAUAGGUCCAAUUGCUCAUCGUUCAUGCAAUAUUCUACUGAUUCUGUGCAUCUCUUUUAAUCCCUAAUUUGUAUAAUUUUUCCUUAAAAGGUUCUUACAACGAUUUUAAAUUAUUUCCUUACUUGUGAGAUGCUCUCUAUAUUUGGUUGUGUCCGUGAUUCUUUGACUAACUUGCAGAAAUUAAUUGGUGUUUUCUUACCAUAUUUGUGCAUGAACAGGAUUUCAAAUUUUCAGCAUAUAUUUUCUUUACUUCAAUUAUUAUGAAUCUAACCCUUAUGGUAUAUUAUAUGCUUACUACUCUUACUAGGGUAAAUAUAUUUAAUUGAUUCCUUUCCUUUUGGACCCUCUAUUUGUUGCUGUUUUCCUUGAUUCCUUAGUUAAAGGGGAGUCCUAAUCCUAAUUGGGUAUGAUUGACACUAGUUCCUUAAUUAAUGAUUGCUGUCUUGUUUGUGUACUCGUUUCUAGUACUAUAAGUACCCCACCCAUUCUCUUUGAAACAGAGAAACACAUUGCAUAUCUCUCAUACACAGACACAAGUUCAAACUCUCUGAACUCUCUCUUUCAAAACACUCAGUGUUCUCUCUUUCUCUACUGUUUCUACACCCUCUUAUUCUUCUAUUUGAAUACUCAAUCGGCUGAAAGCCAAGAUUGAGUAAUCUUGGCUAUUUAUUUCUACACUAAUAAGGUUCUACUGCAUUGCUUACUUGGGUUUGCCUACUGCUCUCUUUGCUGCACACUGCUGUUCUCACCUUGCUGCCCUCAUUCUCUGCAUACUUUGCGCUCUUUGUGCACUAUUGCUCAUUUUUAUUGUAUUCUAUUGUCUGUAACAGGUAUGUUACCUAUUUAAGAUACAGUUUCUAAAAUAACAUGCUUUUACUAGUUUUGCACUUCUUCUUGUUUCUUGUGUGCUUUUACCUAUGGUUUUGCUGCUCUUGUUGACACUAGUAUACACUUACUAGCCUAUUUAGCUUAGAUUAGCAUGCCCCCCUUACCCCUUCCCUAUCUCAAUGAAUGUUUACUUUUCUUUGUGCAUUAUUACCAUGUGUCCAGGGCUGCUUGGCUACUUAGUUAGCCUAAUACCUCUUCCUGAGGUUAAGUGUAUUGGGGGUUUUUUGCAGUAAGAAUUGAACCCCUAUUUCUUCUACAACUAUGUCUGAUUAACUGCCUUCACUAUGUUUGCCUGUGUGUGAGUAGAUCCCUGUACUUAUCUGUUCCAUCCCCCUUUGCUCCUGUUUGUAUUGUGCUCUGUUCUAAACUGGUUAGUAUAUAUGAUUUUAAAAGAAUUCCUUUCAACUCUUUUAACUCUAUUAAGCUAUUUUCUCAAACUGUCUCCUAAAUCUUUCGGCUGUUUUCUUAAAUUGACUCUCAACGGUUUUUAAGCUCUCUCAAUCCUAUUACAACUUCACUACUCUUAGAAUACUAUGUUCUGCCCCCUUAGUGUAAGCAUUGCUUUGGGAGCCCUUGAGCACCCAUUGAGCUUUGAUGCACAAGGCUGGCACUUCUUCUCUUGCACUUGUCUAAUAAUGACACUUUGGGUGUCUGGUAUUGGCCAGAGGUUCAAACGAAAUCUUAGGGAACUUUGCCGCACCCAAGCCUUGAUAAUGGCUGUGAAACUCGAAAGAAGUGAGGUUGGAGAUCUUGGGCCUGGCUGUAGGCUCCCUGUAGAAUGGCUUCUUCUUUUUUAUCA
RNAcentral lists this long non-coding RNA (2363 nucleotides) under Nicotiana benthamiana. Its description in RNAcentral is "long non-coding RNA (NBEN_LNC013652)". The record is from RNAcentral. Lineage: Eukaryota; Viridiplantae; Streptophyta; Magnoliopsida; Solanales; Solanaceae.